AUUAACGGAACGGAAUAGAAACGGAAUGAAAAUAUGGAGAGGGAUUGACCAAUCGGAGUAAUUCCGUUUCAAUUCCGUUCCGUUUUUUGAUGAACUGGAUCCCCAUGUACAGAACUGUCUCGGAACGGAAAAGGAACGGACACACAUUUAAAAGUGGCAAAGCAUACCCUGCAUGGUCCGUCGGGUGACUUUUACGACGCAUUUUUGUGCAUUUUGUGUCUAUUUUUUUGAACGAUACAUUGAAAUAUCGCCAGACUGUAACAUCCUUACAAAAAUCAAUACAUGAAGCUUUGACAAGUUCAAUAAAAAAUAACAAUAACACUUCUUUCACAUCAACAAGCGACAACUUCAACAAAGAAAAAGGAUUGAUUUUGAUAGAUAUGAAAAAGUUCAUGAAGAUGAGUAUAAGAAUACAAAUAUUUUAGCAGCAGAUCACUUAAAAAAAAGAUUAAAACGUAUAAAUAUGUUAAUACA
This is a long non-coding RNA of Monomorium pharaonis (pharaoh ant), 474 nucleotides long. RefSeq lists it as uncharacterized. NCBI's taxonomy places the organism in Eukaryota, Metazoa, Arthropoda, Insecta, Hymenoptera, Formicidae. The transcript is spliced from 3 exons. The record is from RefSeq and is a predicted model, not a curated record.